Molecule: ribosomal RNA, 254 nt
Filed under: uncultured prokaryote
Description: partial 16S ribosomal RNA
Rfam family: Bacterial small subunit ribosomal RNA
Source: RNAcentral
UACGUAGGGGGCUAGCGUUGUCCGGAUUUAUUGGGCGUAAAGAGCGUGUAGGCGGCCAGGUAGGUCUGGUGUGAAAACUCGAGGCUUAACCUCGAGAUGUCAUCGGAAACCAUUUGGCUAGAGUCCGGAAGAGGAAAGUGGAAUUCCUGGUGUAGCGGUGAAAUGCGCAGAUAUCAGGAAGAACACCAAUGGCGAAAGCAGCUUUCUGGGACGGUACUGACGCUGAGACGCGAAAGCGUGGGGAGCGAACAGGA